This 1227-nucleotide long non-coding RNA is filed under the name Rattus norvegicus (Norway rat). RNAcentral describes it as "long non-coding RNA NONRATT014331". The record is from RNAcentral. Lineage: Eukaryota; Metazoa; Chordata; Mammalia; Rodentia; Muridae.
AGAAACCGAAGUCUAGGUGACGGUUCCGAGACAUCGCCGCCAAGCUGGGCACCGGAGAGAUGGCCGAGACGGACCCCAAGACAAUGCAGGACAUCACCUUGGUGGUGGAGACGCUCUUGCAGCAGAUGCAAGACAAGUUUCAGAUUAUGUCGGAUCAGAUCAUCGGAAGGAUCGAUGACAUGAGCAGCCGAAUCGAUGACCUGGAGAAAAAUAUCGCUGACCUCAUGACCCAGGCUGGAGUAGAAGAACUGGACGCUGAGAACAAGAUUCCUACUGCCCAGAAGAGUUGAAGGCACUGCCCUGGACAUUCCUGGGACUUGGGCCCCUGUCUGGCUGGCUACUGGCACUUCAGACUGAGUCCAGAACAUCACUUUCCCAAGCCAAGAGAAAACCAAGUGGCUUUCUUCAACUAACUCCUAUGUGUGGACAGGUUUAUAAAACGUGCAUUCUUAUCACAGCCUGCAUAGCCUAGAGUACCCUAGCCCCAUUCCUCAAACUUGGUAUCCUCACAUCUUGGUCAGUUCUCUUAAUUAUUAAACACUAAAAUGUUGGCGGUUUCCGGAUAAGAUUGUCAGACUUUUUAGUGGUUUUCUGAGGUCCUCUCCCCACUGCUCCUCUGUGGUAGUUGCUGUGUGAUAAAGCGACAGAGUACUCUUUAAUUAGGUGACUGCAGCCCUUCCCCCUGGCAGGAGCCAUGUGUGAAACAUGAAUGUUUAGCUUUCUUUGAGUUUCAGUGCAAAGUGACUGUUGAGCCGCCACUCGAGUGUCAGAAGUUCUUCUCCAAACGGCCGAGAACAUUUCAUAGUUGUCUGUGCCGAAGUGUCUAUCAGAGUUUUGCAUGAGAUUCUAGUAGUGUUGGUAGGACCUGCCAUGCUUUCCGGCGGGAUAUCAGAGCCCAGUGACCCUAUCCUCCCUUCAAGCUACUGACUGAAAGGGAAGAGACCAAAAGACCCGAGUGAGCCCGCCCCCGUCAAGUGGCUGAAAAAUGCCCUUUGACCUGUGGGAGGUGCUGGUUUUUAAGAAAUACUAUUUUACUUGAACUAUUUCUUGUCUAAAUUCUUGCACAGUGAAUUCUAUUAACUAGAGAAGACAGAUUUACAUUCAGAAUUCUGGUGUCUGGAGGCUUGGCCUCAAGGCCACUUUUGAUGACUUAGAAGACAACCUAUGUCACUGUCCCCACAAAGUGAUUUCAUACAAUAAAGAACAAGGUAAUUCAACAUCGGAGAA